Oncorhynchus keta (chum salmon) is the source of this 1077-nucleotide long non-coding RNA. RefSeq lists it as uncharacterized. Lineage: Eukaryota; Metazoa; Chordata; Actinopteri; Salmoniformes; Salmonidae. The transcript is spliced from 2 exons. The record is from RefSeq and is a predicted model, not a curated record.
GCUCACCACUAGGAGCACGGAUACUUAAAGAAACAACAACACAUAAAAUCAGACAGUCGUUCCUUCCUAUCCUGCUGACUGGUCUGAUAUUAUCAUAGUAAGUUUAAAGCGAUGUUAUAUCCAUGAUACACGGAAGAUGUUUGGCUUGAGAGUUCGGAGGGGCUGACAUGUCGUCUUGUCUACCGGGUCUGGGAGGGCCAGCAGGUGCGAGGACUUUUACAGAUGCACAAUCGAGAGAAUCCUGUCUUGCUGUAUCAGCGCCUGGUACGGCAGCUGCUCCGCCCACAACCAUAAGGCUCUCCAGAGGGAAGUAAAGGCCAAAAAGAUCAUCAAGGACAACAACCAACCGAGCCACUGCCUGUUCACCCUGCUAUCAUCCAGAAGGAGCGGUCAACAGGUGCAUCAAAGCUGGGACAGAGAAACUGAAAAACAGCUUCUAUCUCAAGGCCAUCAGAUUGUUAAAACAGCCAUCACUAACUAACAUUGAGUGGCUGCUGUCAACAUACUGACCCCAAUCUCUAGCCACUUUAAUUAUAAAAAAUGGGAUGUAAUAAAUGUAUCACUAGUCACUUUAAACAAUGCCACUUUAUAUAAUGUUUACAUAACCUACAUUAUUAAUCUCAUAUGUAUAUACUGUACUCUAUACCAUCUACUGCAUCUUGCCUAUGCCGCACGGCCAUCAAUCAUACAUAUAUUUAUAUGUACAUAUUCGUAUUCCUUCCUUUACACUUGUGUGUAUAAGGUAGUUGUUGUAAAAUUGUUAGAUUACUUUUUAGAGAUUACUGCACGGUCGGAACUAGAAGCACAAGCAUUUCGCUACCCUCACAUUAACAUCUGCUAACCAUAUAUAUGUGACCAACAACAUUUGAAUAGUCUAUUACCAUUCUGUAUUAUGUCAUGUAUAUGUAUUUUCUGGGGUUGGUGGGUUAAAAUAUUACUCGAUGUCACAGAGGGUGCACAGGGAAUAUGUCAAAAUGCUGAAUAUUUGCACUUUACCAGUCUUUAUUCAUAUUGAAAAUCUGAUUUAUUGAAUUAUCCAUGUGACCAAUAUUAAAGAGCACUUCAUUUCAUAUACCA